UACGUAGGGGGCAAGCGUUGUCCGGAAUCAUUGGGCGUAAAGAGCGCGUAGGCGGUCCGGUAAGUCCGCUGUGAAAGUCAAGGGCUCAACCCUUGGAUGCCGGUGGAUACUGCAGGGCUAGAGUCCGGAAGAGGCGAGUGGAAUUCCUGGUGUAGCGGUGAAAUGCGCAGAUAUCAGGAGGAACACCGAUGGCGAAGGCAGCUCGCUGGGACGGUACUGACGCUGAGACGCGAAAGCGUGGGGAGCAAACAGG
RNAcentral lists this ribosomal RNA (253 nucleotides) under uncultured bacterium. Its description in RNAcentral is "partial 16S ribosomal RNA". It matches the Rfam family "Bacterial small subunit ribosomal RNA", at positions 524 to 776 of the family's 1533-position model. The record is from RNAcentral.